UGGUGGAGUGAUUUGUCUGGUUAAUUCCGUUAACGAACGAGACCUCAACCUGCUAACUAGUUACGUGAUAAAAGCGUAUACUUCUUAGAGGGACUAUAUGUGCAAGCAUAUGGAAGUUUGAGGCAAUAACA
This 131-nucleotide ribosomal RNA is filed under the name uncultured eukaryote. Its description in RNAcentral is "partial 18S ribosomal RNA". It matches the Rfam family "Eukaryotic small subunit ribosomal RNA", at positions 1299 to 1458 of the family's 1831-position model. The record is from RNAcentral.